Molecule: ribosomal RNA, 273 nt
Filed under: uncultured Alphaproteobacteria bacterium
Lineage: Bacteria; Pseudomonadati; Pseudomonadota; Alphaproteobacteria
Description: partial 16S ribosomal RNA
Rfam family: Bacterial small subunit ribosomal RNA
Source: RNAcentral
ACGCUGGCGGCAUGCCUAACACAUGCAAGUCGAACGAGAAGCUAUCUUCGGAUAGUGGAAAGUGGCGCACGGGUGAGUAACGCGUGGGAACCUGCCCUGAGGUUCGGAAUAACGAUUGGAAACGAUCGCUAAUACCGGAUGAGCCCUGAGGGGGAAAGAUUUAUCGCCUUGGGAGGGGCCCGCGUCCGAUUAGCUUGUUGGUGUGGUAACGGCGCACCAAGGCUUCGAUCGGUAGCUGGUCUGAGAGGAUGAUCAGCCACACUGGGACUGAGA